Molecule: transfer RNA, 73 nt
Filed under: Candidatus Levyibacteriota bacterium
Lineage: Bacteria; Candidatus Levyibacteriota
Description: tRNA-Arg
Rfam family: tRNA
About the family: Transfer RNA (tRNA) molecules are approximately 80 nucleotides in length.
Source: RNAcentral
GUGCCUGUAGCUUAAUGGAUAGAGCAUUGGAUUGCGGAUCCAAAGGUUGCAAGUUCGAGUCUCGCCAGGCACA